AGCUGUUAGGUCGGUCCGGAAUAUCGCUCUCUGUUUUAAUUGGAUUAAUUAAACUGGUGGAUUAAUUCUGGACCACAAUUUUAUCCAUUGAAAAUGAGACGAGAACUAUGUUUAUUACUCGUUUUGUCCCUCCUUGGACAAUCGUAUUCACAGACCACAACAACCGGGUUUGGAAUAGCUGAUACGCUUAGGACUUUUAUAACUGGUUAUCCUUUGCUAGCACUCUCAGCCGCUGUUCCUUUUUUCGCUGCUAGUAACCUAGGACCGAAUCCGUCAGGGUUAGGAUUAAGCAGACCUCCAUUCCCACCACCGCCGCCAUUUUUGAGAAGACCAUUUUUCCCCAUGAUGCCCUUCAUGAGACCUCCUCCACCACCAAUUUUCAUCAUUAGGCAAGGUUAACAACGUGCGCCUGAUUUGAAUCAUUCGACCGAGUUAAGGAAUUGGUUCAUUUUCUGACGUACUUCCGGUGUAUAUUUCAUCAGACUUGCGUCCUGUGUCGACCGUUUUGAUUGGUGGAGAUCUAUUUAUGUUAGGAAUAUUUUGAAUUUUUCGUUCUGUUUGAAAGAAGGCUAAGUUUACACUUUACAUGUAGCCCAGUUAUUUUGGGCUUUCUUGUGUAUAAACUCAAAAUCAUAUGUACAUUCAUAAUUACUAUUCACUCACUAAUUAUUUCUCCAACUCUGUGUAACCAUAACUAUU
RNA transcript from Saccostrea cuccullata (small rock oyster), 699 nucleotides. RefSeq lists it as uncharacterized. The transcript has 4 exons. The record is from RefSeq and is a predicted model, not a curated record. NCBI's taxonomy places the organism in Eukaryota, Metazoa, Mollusca, Bivalvia, Ostreida, Ostreidae.